AUGCUCACUUCAACAGCACAUAUACUAAAAUUGAAAUGAUACAGAGAUUAGCAUAGACCCUGUGCAAGGAUUACAUGUAAGUUUGUGAAGCAUUCCAUAUUUUU
Ictidomys tridecemlineatus (thirteen-lined ground squirrel) is the source of this 104-nucleotide small nuclear RNA. The record is from Ensembl. NCBI's taxonomy places the organism in Eukaryota, Metazoa, Chordata, Mammalia, Rodentia, Sciuridae.